UUUCCGUAGGGGUGACCUGCGGAGGGAUCAUUACUGAGUUUACGCUCUACAACCCUUUGUGAACAUACCUAUAACUGUUGCUUCGGCGGGUAGGGUCUCCGUGACCCUCCCGGCCCCCCGCCCCCGGGCGGGUCGGCGCCCGCCGGAGGAUAACCAAACUCUGAUUUAACAACGUUUCUUCUGAGUGGUACAAGCAAAUAAUCAAAACUUUUAACAACGGAUCUCUUGGUUCUGGCAUCGAUGAAGAACGCAGCGAAAUGCGAUAAGUAAUGUGAAUUGCAGAAUUCAGUGAAUCAUCGAAUCUUUGAACGCACAUUGCGCCCGCCAGCAUUCUGGCGGGCAUGCCUGUUCGAGCGUCAUUUCAACCCUCAAGCUCUGCUUGGUGUUGGGGCCCUACAGCUGAUGUAGGCCCUCAAAGGUAGUGGCGGACCCUCCCGGAGCCUCCUUUGCGUAGUAACUUUACGUCUCGCACUGGGAUCCGGAGGGACUCUUGCCGUAAAACCCCCCAAUUUUCCAAAGGUUGACCUCGGAUCAGGUAGGAAUACCCGCUGAACUUAAGCAUAUCAAUAAGGCGGAGAGAAGGUG
This 585-nucleotide ribosomal RNA is filed under the name Colletotrichum gloeosporioides. Its description in RNAcentral is "eukaryotic LSU rRNA". The stretch from base 206 to 359 matches the Rfam family "5.8S ribosomal RNA". Lineage: Eukaryota; Fungi; Ascomycota; Sordariomycetes; Glomerellales; Glomerellaceae. The record is from RNAcentral.